Molecule: ribosomal RNA, 301 nt
Filed under: uncultured bacterium
Lineage: Bacteria
Description: partial 16S ribosomal RNA
Rfam family: Bacterial small subunit ribosomal RNA
Source: RNAcentral
CAGCAGCCACGGUAAUACGUAGGUGGCAAGCGUUGUCCGGAAUUAUUAGGCGUAAAGGGCUCACAGGCGGUUUCUUAAGUCUGAUGUGAAAGCCCCCGGCUCAACCGGGGAGGGUCAUUGGAAACUGGGAAACUUGAGUGCAGAGGAGGAGAGUGGAAUUUCACGUGUAGCGGUGAAAUGCGUAGAGAUGUGGAGGAACACCAGUGGCGAAGGCGACUCUCUGGUCUGUAACUGACGCUGAGGAGCGAAAGCGUGGGGAGCGAACAGGAUUAGAUACCCGCGUAGUCCCUGUCUCUUAUAC